CUUGGGGGGGGAGGGGUGCCCUCAGCCCAGAUUUUGAGAGGGUGUAGGCUAGACUGGGGGACCCCACUGGUGCAUU
This 76-nucleotide microRNA precursor is filed under the name Myotis brandtii (Brandt's bat). RNAcentral's name for it is "mir-9193 microRNA precursor family". It matches the Rfam family "mir-9193 microRNA precursor family". The record is from Rfam by way of RNAcentral. Lineage: Eukaryota; Metazoa; Chordata; Mammalia; Chiroptera; Vespertilionidae.